Non-coding RNA from Pelobates cultripes (western spadefoot toad), 213 nucleotides. NCBI's taxonomy places the organism in Eukaryota, Metazoa, Chordata, Amphibia, Anura, Pelobatidae. The record is from the annotation of a GenBank genome assembly.
GUGUGUAACUGUGUGUAGACAUGUGGAGAACAACGUAGUAAGUAUGUGGAUCAAUGUCAUUGUGUGUUACUGUAUGUGGUGUUAUGUGUGUCUAGAUAAGAAACAUGGCCAGUGCAAGGCUUUAUCUAUUCUAUGCAAACAAUUGCUUUGCAAUCUCUUUGGAUUUGGGGUUGUUCUAUUGGUCUCAAAUAUUUGCAUUAUAUAAGUGCUGCC